This 811-nucleotide ribosomal RNA is filed under the name uncultured Clostridia bacterium. Its description in RNAcentral is "bacterial SSU rRNA". It matches the Rfam family "Bacterial small subunit ribosomal RNA", at positions 65 to 896 of the family's 1533-position model. Lineage: Bacteria; Bacillati; Bacillota; Clostridia. The record is from RNAcentral.
AACUGAUCUCUUCGGAGUGAAAUUAAGUGGAUUAGUGGCGGACGGGUGAGUAACGCGUGAGUAACCUGCCUUAGAGAAGGGGAUAGCCUUUGGAAACGAAGAAUAAUACCCUAUGAUAUGAUAACCUCGCAUGGGGCUAUCAUCAAAGAUUUAUCGCUCUAAGAUGGACUUGCGUCUGAUUAGUUAGUUGGUGGGGUAACGGCCCACCAAGACAGCGAUCAGUAGCCGGCUUGAGAGAGUGUACGGCCACAUUGGGACUGAGACACGGCCCAGACUCCUACGGGAGGCAGCAGUGGGGAAUUUUGCACAAUGGGGGAAACCCUGAUGCAGCGACGCCGCGUGAUUUAGAAGGCCUUCGGGUUGUAAAAAUCUUUUCUAUGGGAAGAAAAUGACAGUACCAUAGGAAUAAGGACCGGCUAAUUACGUGCCAGCAGCCGCGGUAAUACGUAAGGUCCGAGCGUUGUCCGGAAUCAUUGGGCGUAAAGGGUACGUAGGCGGGUAAGCAAGUUAGAAGUGAAAUCCUAUAGCUCAACUAUAGUAAGCUUUUAAAACUGCUCAUCUUGAGGUAUGGAAGGGAAAGUGGAAUUCCUAGUGUAGCGGUGAAAUGCGCAGAUAUUAGGAGGAAUACCGGUGGCGAAGGCGACUUUCUGGCCAUAACCUGACGCUGAGGUACGAAAGCGUGGGUAGCAAACAGGAUUAGAUACCCUGGUAGUCCACGCCGUAAACGAUGAGUGUUAGGUGUCUGGAGUAAAUCUGGGUGCCGCAGCUAACGCAUUAAACACUCCGCCUGGGGAGUACGCGCGCAAGCGUG